Molecule: ribosomal RNA, 98 nt
Filed under: Panthera tigris altaica (Amur tiger)
Lineage: Eukaryota; Metazoa; Chordata; Mammalia; Carnivora; Felidae
Source: RNAcentral
ACUUUGAACUUACCCAUUUGACAAAUGAGGAAACACAGGGUCGGGCCUGGUUAGUACUUGGAUGGGAGACAGAUGAGAAAACAUAGGUUUAGAAAGUU